RNAcentral lists this ribosomal RNA (497 nucleotides) under uncultured bacterium. RNAcentral describes it as "partial 16S ribosomal RNA". It matches the Rfam family "Bacterial small subunit ribosomal RNA", at positions 28 to 507 of the family's 1533-position model. The record is from RNAcentral.
GAUGAACGCUGGCGGCGUGCCUAAUACAUGCAAGUCGAGCGAACGGACGAGAAGCUUGCUUCUCUGAUGUUAGCGGCGGACGGGUGAGUAAUACGUGGAUAACCUACCUAUAAGACUGGGAUAACUUCGGGAAACCGGAGCUAAUACCGGAUAAUAUUUUGAACCGCGUGGUUCAAAAGUGAAAGACGGUCUUGCUGUCACUUAUAGAUGGAUCCGCGCUGCAUUAGCUAGUUGGUAAGGUAACGGCUUACCAAGGCAACGAUGCAUAGCCGACCUGAGAGGGUGAUCGGCCACACUGGAACUGAGACACGGUCCAGACUCCUACGGGAGGCAGCAGUAGGGAAUCUUCCGCAAUGGGCGAAAGCCUGACGGAGCAACGCCGCGUGAGUGAUGAAGGUCUUCGGAUCGUAAAACUCUGUUAUUAGGGAAGAACAUAUGUGUAAGUAACUGUGCACAUCUUGACGGUACCUAAUCAGAAAGCCACGGCUAACUACGUG